This 2180-nucleotide ribosomal RNA is filed under the name Salmonella enterica subsp. enterica serovar Enteritidis. RNAcentral describes it as "partial 23S ribosomal RNA". It matches the Rfam family "Bacterial large subunit ribosomal RNA", at positions 711 to 2867 of the family's 2925-position model. Lineage: Bacteria; Pseudomonadati; Pseudomonadota; Gammaproteobacteria; Enterobacterales; Enterobacteriaceae. The record is from RNAcentral.
AGACCCGAAACCCGGUGAUCUAGCCAUGGGCAGGUUGAAGGUUGGGUAACACUAACUGGAGGACCGAACCGACUAAUGUUGAAAAAUUAGCGGAUGACCUGUGGCUGGGGGUGAAAGGCCAAUCAAACCGGGAGAUAGCUGGUUCUCCCCGAAAGCUAUUUAGGUAGCGCCUCGUGAAUUCAUCUCCGGGGGUAGAGCACUGUUUCGGCUAGGGGGCCAUCCCGGCUUACCAACCCGAUGCAAACUGCGAAUACCGGAGAAUGUUAUCACGGGAGACACACGGCGGGUGCUAACGUCCGUCGUGAAGAGGGAAACAACCCAGACCGCCAGCUAAGGUCCCAAAGUCAUGGUUAAGUGGGAAACGAUGUGGGAAGGCCCAGACAGCCAGGAUGUUGGCUUAGAAGCAGCCAUCAUUUAAAGAAAGCGUAAUAGCUCACUGGUCGAGUCGGCCUGCGCGGAAGAUGUAACGGGGCUAAACCAUGCACCGAAGCUGCGGCAGCGACACUGUGUGUUGUUGGGUAGGGGAGCGUUCUGUAAGCCUGUGAAGGUGUGUCGUGAGGCAUGCUGGAGGUAUCAGAAGUGCGAAUGCUGACAUAAGUAACGAUAAAGCGGGUGAAAAGCCCGCUCGCCGGAAGACCAAGGGUUCCUGUCCAACGUUAAUCGGGGCAGGGUGAGUCGACCCCUAAGGCGAGGCCGAAAGGCGUAGUCGAUGGGAAACGGGUUAAUAUUCCCGUACUUGGUGUUACUGCGAAGGGGGGACGGAGAAGGCUAUGUUGGCCGGGCGACGGUUGUCCCGGUUUAAGCGUGUAGGUGUGUGUUCCAGGUAAAUCCGGUUCACUUUAACACUGAGGCGUGACGACGAGGCACUACGGUGCUGAAGCAACAAAUGCCCUGCUUCCAGGAAAAGCCUCUAAGCAUCAGGUAACAUCAAAUCGUACCCCAAACCGACACAGGUGGUCAGGUAGAGAAUACCAAGGCGCUUGAGAGAACUCGGGUGAAGGAACUAGGCAAAAUGGUGCCGUAACUUCGGGAGAAGGCACGCUGACACGUAGGUGAAGUGAUUUACUCAUGGAGCUGAAGUCAGUCGAAGAUACCAGCUGGCUGCAACUGUUUAUUAAAAACACAGCACUGUGCAAACACGAAAGUGGACGUAUACGGUGUGACGCCUGCCCGGUGCCGGAAGGUUAAUUGAUGGGGUCAGCGCAAGCGAAGCUCCUGAUCGAAGCCCCGGUAAACGGCGGCCGUAACUAUAACGGUCCUAAGGUAGCGAAAUUCCUUGUCGGGUAAGUUCCGACCUGCACGAAUGGCGUAAUGAUGGCCAGGCUGUCUCCACCCGAGACUCAGUGAAAUUGAACUCGCUGUGAAGAUGCAGUGUACCCGCGGCAAGACGGAAAGACCCCGUGAACCUUUACUAUAGCUUGACACUGAACAUUGAGCCUUGAUGUGUAGGAUAGGUGGGAGGCUUUGAAGUGUGGACGCCAGUCUGCAUGGAGCCGACCUUGAAAUACCACCCUUUAAUGUUUGAUGUUCUAACGUGGACCCGUUACCCGGGUUGCGGACAGUGUCUGGUGGGUAGUUUGACUGGGGCGGUCUCCUCCUAAAGAGUAACGGAGGAGCACGAAGGUUGGCUAAUCCUGGUCGGACAUCAGGAGGUUAGUGCAAUGGCAUAAGCCAGCUUGACUGCGAGCGUGACGGCGCGAGCAGGUGCGAAAGCAGGUCAUAGUGAUCCGGUGGUUCUGAAUGGAAGGGCCAUCGCUCAACGGAUAAAAGGUACUCCGGGGAUAACAGGCUGAUACCGCCCAAGAGUUCAUAUCGACGGCGGUGUUUGGCACCUCGAUGUCGGCUCAUCACAUCCUGGGGCUGAAGUAGGUCCCAAGGGUAUGGCUGUUCGCCAUUUAAAGUGGUACGCGAGCUGGGUUUAGAACGUCGUGAGACAGUUCGGUCCCUAUCUGCCGUGGGCGCUGGAGAACUGAGGGGGGCUGCUCCUAGUACGAGAGGACCGGAGUGGACGCAUCACUGGUGUUCGGGUUGUCAUGCCAAUGGCACUGCCCGGUAGCUAAAUGCGGAAGAGAUAAGUGCUGAAAGCAUCUAAGCACGAAACUUGCCCCGAGAUGAGUUCUCCCUGAGACUUAGAGUCUCCUGAAGGAACGUUGAAGACGACGACGUUGAUAGGCCGGGUG